This is a long non-coding RNA of Ruditapes philippinarum (Manila clam), 1101 nucleotides long. RefSeq lists it as uncharacterized. The record is from RefSeq and is a predicted model, not a curated record. The transcript is spliced from 6 exons. Lineage: Eukaryota; Metazoa; Mollusca; Bivalvia; Venerida; Veneridae.
GCCCUUUUAGUCUCUACAAUUAUGACAUGGUAUUCUUUUUGCAGUUCCAGUUGAUGACAGCAGUGCAGCAGUGAUCCCUGAGUUUACUGACUGGGAAAUAACUAAAAGGGAUGAGGAAGAGAUAGAUCGAAUAUGGUUUGAAGAAGCAAGUGAUGCUACUGUUUGGAAGAAAUGGCCCAUAUGUAUUAACAGAGUAGUCCUUUGAAUUUAUCAGAUCAACACUUUCUGAUGAGGUUAUUGAUGCUCUUUUGCAUCUAUUGGUUGCUGAUAAGGAAAAUGUUUUGCACAUCAGCUGCAUAACUAUGACAGGGAUUUUUGAUGGUGAGGUGAACAUCCAUGGACUCCUAAGAAUGCACACUCUGAUGUCAUAUGAUACUGUUAUUGGCGCUAACAAUGAAGGGGGAAACCACUGGACAUUAAUGCUCAUUUCUGAAGUCUCGAUAUGAUGCUGGUCUUGAAAAUAGGAUUUCAGCAGAAUGGACAGUACACAGUCCUGCACAUGCCAGGCAGAUAGAUGGCACUUGUUAUGGAAUCUAUGUUAUUAAAUUUGCAGAAAAUUAUUUAUCUGGGAAGUCUUUGCAGUUUAAUUGGUCACCAAUGGAAUUAUACAUGGCAAGGAAAUACUUGGCUUUAUAUCUGUGGUCAGCAAUUACAACACAAGAAGGAAAUGUUGAUAGAGGAAGGGAAAAGAAAAUAACACAAACAUUAAGAUUCUCCAAAACAAAUUCUAUGUCACAUUUGUAUGAAAUAAGCAAACUUUGUAUCCUAAAUGCAAAGAAUUUCAAUUAAUUAAUUGACAACUUGUAUCAUAGUUUGGAGACCUUUCUGUUGAAAAUGUGUCAGGGUUAAAUCGUAUACAUAUGCAUGCAAAGUGCGUUUACUGGAGUGCGGGUAUUAGUUACCCGCACUCCAGAGCAUGCCCAUUGAUUGGUUCAUUUUUGCCGGGGUUUACAUAUUGUGACGACAUAAAUGUCAUAUUCAGAUGUUCGUUCAUUGGUUCAUUUUUGCCGGGGUUUCAUAUUGUGACAACAGGAAACAACCUUUUAUGAUUGACUAUGAUACAAAAGAGAAAGAACACCAAAACACUCGGCAAUCUGAUUC